AUUGAACGCUGGCGGAAUGCUUUCCACAUGCAAGUCGAACGGCAGCACGGACUUCGGUCAGGUGGCGAGUGGCGAACGGGUGAGGAACACAUCGGAACGUGCCCAGUCGUGGGGGAUAACGUAGCGAAAGCUACGCUAAUACCGCAGACGAUGUAAGGAUGAAAGCGGGGGACCGUAAGGACUCGCGCGCUUGGAGCGGCCGAUGGCAGAUUAGGUAGUUGGUGGGGUAAAGGCUCACCAAGCCGACGAUCUGUAGCUGGUCUGAGAGGACGACCAGCCACACUGGAUCUGAGACACGGCCCAGACUCCUACGGGAGGCAGCAGUGGGGAAUUUUGUACAAUGGGCGCAAGCCUGAUCCGGCCAUUCCGCGUGCAGGAUGAAGGCCCUCGGGUUGUAAACUGCUUUUGUACGGAACGAAAAGGCUCUGGUUAAUACCCGGGGCUCAUGACGGUACCGUAAGAAUAAGCACCGGCUAACUACGUGCCAGCCGCCGCCGUAA
Molecule: ribosomal RNA, 500 nt
Filed under: uncultured bacterium
Lineage: Bacteria
Description: partial 16S ribosomal RNA
Rfam family: Bacterial small subunit ribosomal RNA
Source: RNAcentral